AAGGUGGCCUUCUCAGCCUCGCUGUCUGAAUCCAAAGGACCAAAUAGUGAUGAUGUCAUCCUGGUCUACAAACAUGUCUUCAACAAUAUUGACUCCGAGGACGGUGGAUCCAAUGGUGUCACACUGCAGUUGGAUGCAGGAGAUGAGGUCUACACUCGUCUGGUGGCAGAAUUUAACGUCUUUGAUGACAAGAACCACCACAGCACCUUCUCUGGCUUUCUGCUCUUCACGUAGAAAACAGUUCCUUCCACAGCUGAAUCCUACUGCUUUGUAAUGAUUUGAUGACAUAUAGUACUAUGACAUCACAAUGUUUAUGGCUUUUUGUGUGAACUAAGCAUUGAUAACAAGGUGAAAAACAAACAAUCUUGUGUCUUCAUCAUUUAACCGAACGCAUCAGAAUCAGAACCAACCAGUCCAACAGGAUGUAUUAAGCUUGAGUUAUUCAGUUAUUUUUGUACGGACCGGAUCGGGUGAUGCAAUCUUUGUGCUGCUUUGUGGAAGAAUGAAAGUGUAGACCUGA
Long non-coding RNA from Salvelinus fontinalis (brook trout), 520 nucleotides. RefSeq lists it as uncharacterized. The record is from RefSeq and is a predicted model, not a curated record. The transcript is spliced from 2 exons. NCBI's taxonomy places the organism in Eukaryota, Metazoa, Chordata, Actinopteri, Salmoniformes, Salmonidae.